RNAcentral lists this transfer RNA (67 nucleotides) under Bison priscus (steppe bison). RNAcentral describes it as "tRNA-Lys". The record is from RNAcentral. Lineage: Eukaryota; Metazoa; Chordata; Mammalia; Artiodactyla; Bovidae.
CACCAAGAAGCUAUANAGCACUAACCUUUUAAGUUAGAGAUUGAGAGCANNAUACUCUCCUUGGUGA